Molecule: ribosomal RNA, 247 nt
Filed under: uncultured bacterium
Lineage: Bacteria
Description: partial 16S ribosomal RNA
Rfam family: Bacterial small subunit ribosomal RNA
Source: RNAcentral
AUACGUAGGGGGCGUAGCGUUGUCCGGAUUUACUGGGCGUAAAGGGUGAGUAGGCGGUAAUGUGUGUCAGAUGUUUAAUCUAUGAGCUCAACUCAUAUCAGCAUUUGAAACUACAUAACUUGAGUGCAGGAGAGGUAAGUGGAAUUCCUAGUGUAGCGGUGGAAUGCGUAGAUAUUAGGAGGAACACCGGUGGCGAAGGCGACUUACUGGACUGUAACUGACGCUGAGUCACGAAAGCGUGGGGAGC